AUUGAACGCUGGCGGCAUGCCUUACACAUGCAAGUCGAACGGUAACAGGUCUUCGGAUGCUGACGAGUGGCGAACGGGUGAGUAAUACAUCGGAACGUGCCUAGUAGUGGGGGAUAACUACUCGAAAGAGUGGCUAAUACCGCAUGAGAUCUACGGAUGAAUGCAGGGGAUCGCAAGACCUUGUGCUACUAGAGCGGCCGAUGGCGGAUUAGGUAGUUGGUGGGAUAAAAGCUUACCAAGCCGACGAUCUGUAGCUGGUCUGAGAGGACGAUCAGCCACACUGGGACUGGGACACGGCCCAGACUCCUACGGGAGGCAGCAGUGGGGAAUUUUGGUCAAUGGGCGAAAGCCUGAUCCAGCAAUGCCGCGUGCAGGAUGAAGGCCUUCGGGUUGUAAACUGCUUUUGUACGGAACGAAAAGCCCUGGGUUAAUACCCUGGGGUCAUGACGGUACCGUAAGAAUAAGCACCGGCUAACUACGUGCCAGCCGCCGCAGUAA
Molecule: ribosomal RNA, 498 nt
Filed under: uncultured bacterium
Lineage: Bacteria
Description: partial 16S ribosomal RNA
Rfam family: Bacterial small subunit ribosomal RNA
Source: RNAcentral